Molecule: non-coding RNA, 45 nt
Filed under: Schistosoma mansoni
Lineage: Eukaryota; Metazoa; Platyhelminthes; Trematoda; Strigeidida; Schistosomatidae
Source: RNAcentral
AUCCAUCUGACGAGUCCUGAAUAGGAUGAAACGCGCAUCUUGGAU